Molecule: ribosomal RNA, 460 nt
Filed under: uncultured bacterium
Lineage: Bacteria
Description: partial 16S ribosomal RNA
Rfam family: Bacterial small subunit ribosomal RNA
Source: RNAcentral
CCUACGGGGGGCAGCAGUGAGGAAUAUUGGUCAAUGGGCUUACGCCUGAACCAGCCAAGUCGCGUGAGGGAAGACUGCCCUAUGGGUUGUAAACCUCUUUUGUCAGGGAGCAAUUUGCGCUACGUGUAGCGUUAUCGAUAGUACCUGAAGAAAAAGCAUCGGCUACCUCCGUGCCAGCAGCCGCGGUAAUACGGAGGAUGCGAGGGUUAUCCGGAUUUAUUGGGUUUAAAGGGUGCGUAGGCGGAAUGCCAAGUCAGCGGUAAAAUCGCGGGGCUCAACCUCGCUCCGCCGUUGAAACUGGCGGUCUUGAGUGGGCGAGAAGUAGGCGGAAUGCGUGGUGUAGCGGUGAAAUGCAUAGAUAUCACGCAGAACUCCGAUUGCGAAGGCAGCAUACCGGCGCCCAACUGACGCUGAAGCACGAAAGCGUGGGUAUCGAACAGGAUUAGAUACCCUUGUAGUC